AGUGAACGCUGGCGGUAGGCCUAACACAUGCAAGUCGAACGGCAGCACAGUAAGAGCUUGCUCUUACGGGUGGCGAGUGGCGGAUGGGUGAGGAAUACAUCGGAAUCUACUUUUUCGUGGGGGAUAACGUAGGGAAACUUACGCUAAUACCCCAUACGACCUACGGGUUAAAGCAGGGGAUCUUCGGCCCUUGCGCGAUUGAAUGAGCCGAUGUCGGAUUAGCUAGUUGGCGGGGUAAAGGCCCACCAAGGCGACGAUCCGUAGCUGGUCUGAGAGGAUGAUCAGCCACACUGGAACUGAGACACGGUCCAGACUCCUACGGGAGGCAGCAGUGGGGAAUAUUGGACAAUGGGCGCAAGCCUGAUCCAGCCAUACCGCGUGGGUGAAGAAGGCCUUCGGGUUGUAAAGCCCUUUUGUUGGGAAAGAAAAGCAGCAGGUUAAUACCCCGCUGUUCUGACGGUACCCAAAGAAUAAGCACCGGCUAACUUCGUG
RNAcentral lists this ribosomal RNA (492 nucleotides) under uncultured bacterium. RNAcentral describes it as "partial 16S ribosomal RNA". It matches the Rfam family "Bacterial small subunit ribosomal RNA", at positions 29 to 507 of the family's 1533-position model. The record is from RNAcentral.